Molecule: small nucleolar RNA, 100 nt
Organism: Pteronotus mesoamericanus
Lineage: Eukaryota; Metazoa; Chordata; Mammalia; Chiroptera; Mormoopidae
Product: Z30 small nucleolar RNA
Exons: 1
Source: RefSeq, a predicted model, not a curated record
AUGCGAUGGCGAGUGAAGUAUAGUCCAACCCGGUAUUGCCUUUCUUCAGUAUUGGCCUUGACCGGGGUAUGAUCACCUACCUAAUCAUCUCUCUGAGCUG